UAACCUGCUAAAUAGCCCAACCGGCUUUGGCUGGCUGCUGGCUUCUUAGAGGGACAUUCGGCUCAAGCCGACGGAAGUUUGAGGCAAUAACAGGUCUGUUAUGCCCUUAGAUGUUCUGGGCCGCACGCGCGCUACACUGACAGAGCCAGCGGGUUGUUUUCCUUGACUGAAAGGUUUGGGUAAACCUGGAAACUCUGUCGUGCUGGGGAUAGAGCAUUGCAAUUAUUGCUCUUCAACGAGGAAUGCCUAGUAAGCGCAUGUCAUCAGCAUGCGUUGAUUACGUCCCUGCCCUUUGUACACACCGCCCGUCGCU
This 313-nucleotide ribosomal RNA is filed under the name uncultured fungus. RNAcentral's name for it is "SSU rRNA". It matches the Rfam family "Eukaryotic small subunit ribosomal RNA", at positions 1344 to 1680 of the family's 1831-position model. Lineage: Eukaryota; Fungi. The record is from RNAcentral.